RNAcentral lists this long non-coding RNA (1808 nucleotides) under Sus scrofa (pig). RNAcentral describes it as "lncRNA (ENSSSCG00045020850.1)". The record is from RNAcentral. Lineage: Eukaryota; Metazoa; Chordata; Mammalia; Artiodactyla; Suidae.
CUCCAUGCACUACUAUCCUACCUUCAGUCUUGGCAGUUACUACUUUGCACCCUGUGAAAGCCCAAGUGCUGCAGAGAGAUUUCUCCUCUCUCUGCCUUGCUCCUACCCUGCCAUGAGCCAUUGUCUUAACUUGGGAAAGGUCUGAGCACCUUAUAUGGGGUGUCUCUAAGCUACCCUGCCCUCCUCCCAGCCUUCAGCGUACUAUUCAUGUACACUGCUGAAGGCCUAUGGGGAAUGGUUGGCAGUUAGGUGCAUUCUCUUUCUGUGGUUGAGGUUUCUUGGGAUUCUAAUGCUUCAUGCCAGCUCACAUGCAGUCUUUACAAAUUCAUUAAAAUAUGGCUGGUUUUUCCUCAUCACCUGCUAUGAUAUAUUCUUUCCUCUUUCAGCUGCUCUGCUAGAAUGCAAACAGAUACAGAUCUCUACUGUUAGAAAAAGGAAUCUUCUGCACCUUCUGACUUUUCAUUUAGUUAGAUUAUUUCUGUCCUCAGAUCUCUGGUGGGUUUAAAAAACCAUGCUUUUGUUGCUUAUCUGGUUUAUGGUUAUUGUUGGAGAUCUGGCGUUGCUGUGAGCUGUGGUGUAGGUCACAGACGUGGCUCGGACCCCACAUUGUUGUGGCUGCGGCUGUGGUCUAGGCCGGCAGUUGUAGCUCUGAUUCAACCUUUAGCCUGGGAACUUUGCUAUGUUGCGGGUGUGGCCCUAAAAAGUAAAAAAAAAAAAAAAUUUUAAAUAACUAAAACACAAGAAGAAACAAGCCCAAAUAAACAAAAGGCAGCAGGAAAAAAAAUAUAUAAACUGAAAUGUCAGACUCCCAAGAUUGAUAUUGAAAUUAUUAGAUACAGAUUAUACAGCAAGGAUGUUGAUCUACCUAAAUUUUAGCUGCAUGAAUGAAAAUGAGAAUUUUAAAAUCAUAGUGUUGGGCAAAAAGAAGCAAGUCCCAAAUCAAUAAAAUGGAGAAAUGAGUUUUAGUCUAUUUAUACAACACAUAUCACAGAGCAGUUUAAAAAAUGUACUAGAGCUAUGCUUACCAGGAUGGAAGAAUCUCAGAAAUAGAAUGAUGAGUGAGAAGGGCAUUAAUAAAUACAUAUGAUAUGAGCUCUUUUAUGUAAGUUUCAAGACCUGGGAAAAUUAAAUAUUCUAUUGUUUAGGAAUAUAGCAUAUAUUAUAAAACUAUUUUUUAAAGUAGCUGGUAGUUUAUAAUACAGGAUAGUGGUUUCAUAUGGAUGAGAAAGAGAGGGAAAGAGGGGCCAUGGUGAGCUGAAAAAGUUUGUUGGGUUGUGUUUUCUUUCUUUUUUUCUCUUUUGGCUGCCCCACGUCAUAUGGAAUUUCUGGGCCAGGGGUCAGAUCCGAGCUGCAGUUGCAUCCUAUGCCACAGCUAUGACAACGUCAGAGCCUUAACCCACUGUGCCAGACUGGGGAUUGAACCUGUGUCCCAAUGCUUCAGAGACACUACUGAUCCUGUUGGCCACAGUGGGAACUCCAGGGUUGUAUUUUAUUUCUUGAGCCAGGAGGUUUAAUAUACGGGUGUUUAUUAACAUUAUUUAAGGGAGUUCCCGUCGUGGCACAGUGGUUAACGAAUCCAACUGGGAACCAUGAGGUUGCGGGUUCCAUCCCUGCCCUUGCUCAGUGGGUUGAUGAUUCGGCGUUGCCUUGAGCUGUGGUGUAGGUCACAGACGUGGCUCGGAUCCCACAUUGCUGUGGCUCUGGCGUAGGUCAGCGGCUACAGGUCCGAUUGGACCCCUAGCCUGGGAACCUCCAUAUGCCGCGGGAGCGGCCCAAGAAAUGGCAAAAAGACAAAAAAGAAAAAAAAA